GGCUGGGAUUGUGGAAGAGUUACUGGGUGGGGAUGGUGGUGGGGUGAUCGGGUUUGUUGAUGAGUUGUUCUUGGAGUGUCAGAAUGAGUGGCAGAAGGGGAGUAAGAGCAGAAGGGCGUAUUGGCAAUGUGUGAAUUUGUAUGGGAGGCUCAGGGAUGAAGGUGUUGCUGUCCAUCAAUGGUGGGGGUGAAGGUUGGAGACAGGUAGGGAGGAGCAACCAUUGUGGUUGCACUUCAGUGGUGGGUGUUGACUGUCUGUGUGGCUUUGCUUAAUGAGUGUGUUAGGAUUGAGUUAAUAAUAAGAGCUCAGUUGAAGUGCUGAGUGAGGGGGUCAAUGUGGUGUCUGUCAGUGGAGUGGGUUGUUUUAUUUAUGUGGUGUUGG
This 381-nucleotide unclassified non-coding RNA is filed under the name Hevea brasiliensis (rubber tree). Lineage: Eukaryota; Viridiplantae; Streptophyta; Magnoliopsida; Malpighiales; Euphorbiaceae. The record is from RNAcentral.